GAUUAAGUUAUUAAGGGCGCACGGUGGAUGCCUUGGCACUAGAAGCCGAUGAAGGACGUUACUAACGACGAUAUGCUUUGGGGAGCUGUAAGUAAGCUUUGAUCCAGAGAUCUCCGAAUGGGGAAACCCAGCAUGAGUUAUGUCAUGUUAUCGAUAUGUGAAUACAUAGCAUAUCAGAAGGCACACCCGGAGAACUGAAACAUCUUAGUACCCGGAGGAAGAGAAAGAAAAUUCGAUUCCCUUAGUAGCGGCGAGCGAAACGGGAAGAGCCCAAACCAACAAGCUUGCUUGUUGGGGUUGUAGGACACUCUAUACGGAGUUACAAAGGACGACAUUAGACGAAUCAUCUGGAAAGAUGAAUCAAAGAAGGUAAUAAUCCUGUAGUCGAAAAUGUUGUCUCUCUUGAGUGGAUCCUGAGUACGACGGAGCACGUGAAAUUCCGUCGGAAUCUGGGAGGACCAUCUCCUAAGGCUAAAUACUCUCUAGUGACCGAUAGUGAACCAGUACCGUGAGGGAAAGGUGAAAAGCACCCCGGAAGGGGAGUGAAAUAGAACCUGAAACCGUGUGCUUACAAGUAGUCAGAGCCCGUUAAUGGGUGAUGGCGUGCCUUUUGUAGAAUGAACCGGCGAGUUACGAUUUGAUGCAAGGUUAAGCAGUAAAUGUGGAGCCGUAGCGAAAGCGAGUCUGAAUAGGGCGUUUAGUAUUUGGUCGUAGACCCGAAACCAGGUGAUCUACCCUUGGUCAGGUUGAAGUUCAGGUAACACUGAAUGGAGGACCGAACCGACUUACGUUGAAAAGUGAGCGGAUGAACUGAGGGUAGCGGAGAAAUUCCAAUCGAACCUGGAGAUAGCUGGUUCUCUCCGAAAUAGCUUUAGGGCUAGCCUCAAGUGAUGAUUAUUGGAGGUAGAGCACUGUUUGGACGAGGGGCCCCUCUCGGGUUACCGAAUUCAGACAAACUCCGAAUGCCAAUUAAUUUAACUUGGGAGUCAGAACAUGGGUGAUAAGGUCCGUGUUCGAAAGGGAAACAGCCCAGACCACCAGCUAAGGUCCCAAAAUAUAUGUUAAGUGGAAAAGGAUGUGGCGUUGCCCAGACAACUAGGAUGUUGGCUUAGAAGCAGCCAUCAUUUAAAGAGUGCGUAAUAGCUCACUAGUCGAGUGACACUGCGCCGAAAAUGUACCGGGGCUAAACAUAUUACCGAAGCUGUGGAUUGUCCUUUGGACAAUGGUAGGAGAGCGUUCUAAGGGCGUUGAAGCAUGAUCGUAAGGACAUGUGGAGCGCUUAGAAGUGAGAAUGCCGGUGUGAGUAGCGAAAGACGGGUGAGAAUCCCGUCCACCGAUUGACUAAGGUUUCCAGAGGAAGGCUCGUCCGCUCUGGGUUAGUCGGGUCCUAAGCUGAGGCCGACAGGCGUAGGCGAUGGAUAACAGGUUGAUAUUCCUGUACCACCUAUAAUCGUUUUAAUCGAUGGGGGGACGCAGUAGGAUAGGCGAAGCGUGCGAUUGGAUUGCACGUCUAAGCAGUAAGGCUGAGUAUUAGGCAAAUCCGGUACUCGUUAAGGCUGAGCUGUGAUGGGGAGAAGACAUUGUGUCUUCGAGUCGUUGAUUUCACACUGCCGAGAAAAGCCUCUAGAUAGAAAAUAGGUGCCCGUACCGCAAACCGACACAGGUAGUCAAGAUGAGAAUUCUAAGGUGAGCGAGCGAACUCUCGUUAAGGAACUCGGCAAAAUGACCCCGUAACUUCGGGAGAAGGGGUGCUCUUUAGGGUUAACGCCCAGAAGAGCCGCAGUGAAUAGGCCCAAGCGACUGUUUAUCAAAAACACAGGUCUCUGCUAAACCGUAAGGUGAUGUAUAGGGGCUGACGCCUGCCCGGUGCUGGAAGGUUAAGAGGAGUGGUUAGCUUCUGCGAAGCUACGAAUCGAAGCCCCAGUAAACGGCGGCCGUAACUAUAACGGUCCUAAGGUAGCGAAAUUCCUUGUCGGGUAAGUUCCGACCCGCACGAAAGGCGUAACGAUUUGGGCACUGUCUCAACGAGAGACUCGGUGAAAUCAUAGUACCUGUGAAGAUGCAGGUUACCCGCGACAGGACGGAAAGACCCCGUGGAGCUUUACUGUAGCCUGAUAUUGAAAUUCGGCACAGCUUGUACAGGAUAGGUAGGAGCCUUUGAAACGUGAGCGCUAGCUUACGUGGAGGCGCUGGUGGGAUACUACCCUAGCUGUGUUGGCUUUCUAACCCGCACCACUUAUCGUGGUGGGAGACAGUGUCAGGCGGGCAGUUUGACUGGGGCGGUCGCCUCCUAAAAGGUAACGGAGGCGCUCAAAGGUUCCCUCAGAAUGGUUGGAAAUCAUUCAUAGAGUGUAAAGGCAUAAGGGAGCUUGACUGCGAGACCUACAAGUCGAGCAGGGUCGAAAGACGGACUUAGUGAUCCGGUGGUUCCGCAUGGAAGGGCCAUCGCUCAACGGAUAAAAGCUACCCCGGGGAUAACAGGCUUAUCUCCCCCAAGAGUUCACAUCGACGGGGAGGUUUGGCACCUCGAUGUCGGCUCAUCGCAUCCUGGGGCUGUAGUCGGUCCCAAGGGUUGGGCUGUUCGCCCAUUAAAGCGGUACGCGAGCUGGGUUCAGAACGUCGUGAGACAGUUCGGUCCCUAUCCGUCGUGGGCGUAGGAAAUUUGAGAGGAGCUGUCCUUAGUACGAGAGGACCGGGAUGGACAUACCUCUGGUGUACCAGUUGUCGUGCCAACGGCAUAGCUGGGUAGCUAUGUGUGGACGGGAUAAGUGCUGAAAGCAUCUAAGCAUGAAGCCCCCCUCAAGAUGAGAUUUCCCAACUUCGGUUAUAAGAUCCCUCAAAGAUGAUGAGGUUAAUAGGUUCGAGGUGGAAGCAUGGUGACAUGUGGAGCUGACGAAUACUAAUCGAUCGAAGACUUAAUCAA
This 2923-nucleotide ribosomal RNA is filed under the name Staphylococcus aureus subsp. aureus 21235. Its description in RNAcentral is "bacterial LSU rRNA". It matches the Rfam family "Bacterial large subunit ribosomal RNA". The record is from RNAcentral. Lineage: Bacteria; Bacillati; Bacillota; Bacilli; Caryophanales; Staphylococcaceae.